This 822-nucleotide long non-coding RNA is filed under the name Homo sapiens (human). RNAcentral describes it as "HSALNT0385936". The record is from RNAcentral. Lineage: Eukaryota; Metazoa; Chordata; Mammalia; Primates; Hominidae.
AUAGAAUCAGCACCCAUCUUUGAGUCAGAGUUUGAGAUGCAAAUCCUUUACUGUAUAGCCUUGAUCAAAUGACUUCACCUCAUUGAAUUAAUCUUCUUCUGCAUAAAAUGGGGUCACCAUCUGCUUAUCUAAAUUGUUACAAAUGGGACAGUAUAUGUGCCAUUCCAGAUACCUAAUCACAGCUCAAUCGAUGCUGGUGUCUUUUUCCUUUUUCCUUCUGCAGAAAACAUGCUUUACAUAGGAUCUCUGAACUUAAAGAAUGGGAAGAAGAAAAAUCAUGUUUCCAGCUUGGGCUGCUGUUUCAUCUGUUGGACUUGCUUAAAGCGUAUGGGUUUGUUUACCCUUCCUGCAGGCAUCCAACCUGGCCUUUUAUUCCUGCUCAAGUAGGACAUGCAGCCUGCUGGGGACCCGUGGCUCAAAUCCUCCAACUGCAGGACUGCCGGCCCUGGGACUCAUGAAUAAUGGAAGUGCAGUAACCACUCCUUACAGCCCAGACGACUUUCCAGGAGCAGGCUGUACCCCGAAAGUAAACAAGGAACAAGGGGCAAGGAGACAGAGAGAGAUGGGGAAAUGAUCCCUGAAUGGAAAGGAAUGCUAUGCACACUUUUUGGAUACAGGAAGUGAGAUUCAGAGGGGUUAAACAGCUUUCCUAAAGCCACACAGCGAGAGAGUCGAUCUGAACUGAAGAUUGUUUGACAUCAAAGCUCAUUUCUUUCCCUAAAUGUCAGCAUUCUUUCCUGACUUAUUAAUUUGAUUUCUGUCCUCCCCUCAUGGAAGUUAAUUAAAGGAAUGCGAGAACCUUUUAGAAAAUCUCCAGGGCAG